ACGCUCGACACCUACGUGAGGCAGCAGUGGGGAAUAUUGCACAAUGGGGGAAACCCUGAUGCAGCGACGCCGCGUGGAGGAAGAAGGUCUUCGGAUUGUAAACUCCUGUUGUUGGGGAAAAAGAGGAUGGUACCACAAGAAGUAGUAGGCGUACUACGUUCAGCAGCCGCGGUACUCGUAGNGCGGCGUGGCAGGCAG
This 198-nucleotide ribosomal RNA is filed under the name uncultured bacterium. Its description in RNAcentral is "partial 16S ribosomal RNA". It matches the Rfam family "Bacterial small subunit ribosomal RNA", at positions 328 to 544 of the family's 1533-position model. The record is from RNAcentral.